CCUACGGGUGGCAGCAGUGAGGAAUAUUGGUCAAUGGGCGCGAGCCUGAACCAGCCAAGUAGCGUGAAGGAUGACUGCCCUACGGGUUGUAAACUUCUUUUAUAAAGGAAUAAAGUGAGGCACGUGUGCCUUUUUGUAUGUACUUUAUGAAUAAGGUUCGGCUAACUCCGUUCCAGCAGCCGCGGUAAUCCGGAGGAGCCGGUCGUUGUCCGGAUUUGGUGGGUUUAAAGGAAGCGUAGAUGGGUUGUUAGGUCAGUUGUGAAAGUUUGCGGCUCAACCGUAAAAUUGCAAUUGAUACUGGCAGUCUUGAGUACAGUUGAGGUAGGCGGAAUUCGUGGUGUAGCAGUGAAAUGCUUAGAUAUCACGAAGAACUCCGAUUGCGAAGGCAGCUUACUAAACUGCCACUGACAUUGAGGCUCGAAAGUGUGGGUAGCAAACAGGAUUAGAUACCCCAGUAGUC
This 460-nucleotide ribosomal RNA is filed under the name uncultured bacterium. Its description in RNAcentral is "partial 16S ribosomal RNA". It matches the Rfam family "Bacterial small subunit ribosomal RNA", at positions 338 to 795 of the family's 1533-position model. The record is from RNAcentral.